CUAGUCGCAUUAAGCUAUAUGUUUGUGCACUGGACUCAAGAUGAAAGAGCUGUUGAAGCCAAUACCAUCUAGCAUGCCUAUAGCAGAGCCAACAACUCCAACUCCCCUUCUUCUCGGCACCAUGGCCAUACAUGUAGAACCAUCUUUACAUUACCAACACGGUGACAGACGCUCCCCUCACCUGUGAGCUAUUGUUGCUUUAGAUGGGGAAAUUAAAUUGAGUUCAUUGUUGACUUUAGGUUAGAUAAAUAUUAUCAACCAGCAGGUGUCGCGCUUACUCAUGAUGGCAGGCCAGCCUUGGAGCACCAGGGUCCCCUCGCCAUCCCUCUACCCCCGCCCCUUGGUCCCCAUGCCCCCCACCCUCUAACCCCCUCCUCCAGAGGUAAGGGCCUCAGUGUGUGUUCUCUCCCCUCCUCUACCCACCCCAGCAGCGGACACACAACACAAGCGUCUCCCUGGCUUCCGCUUCCUCCGCGCUGCUGCACCACUGCUGGGGUAUUCACGCUCCAGGCUGUUUUCUUUCAGAGACUAGAAAAAUAUGCAAAUGGCUAUUGUUAAGAGCCAAAAGUAGAGGGUAUUUUUCUCCCCGUACGCCGCUUGUGUUCCUGGUGAGUAUAAUGUGCAGAGAGGGCUGAGGGGUUUCCUUCAGUCUUUAGUCUCUCUCUCACACACAGGCUCACAAAGAGCUGGAGAUGACCAGGUACAGAGGAAGGAUAUUAGAAAUAUUCUCUUGGGAAGCCAUUGUCUCUUUCCAUUGUGGUCAUAUUCAUAAGAGAAUAUGACCACAUCUGUGUAAGAGAGAGAGAGAGAAAGAGAAAGAGCGAGAGGGAGAAAGAGAGAGAGAGAGAGAGAGAGAGAGAGAGAGAGAGAGAGAGAGAGAGAGAGAGAGAGAGAGAGAGAGAGAGAAAGAAAGAGAGAAAGAGAGAGAUAGAAAAAGAGAGAUAUAGAGAGAGAGAAAAAAGAGAGAUAGAGAUAGAGAGAAAAAGAGAGAGGUAUUAGGAUGAAAUCCAAGCUUCACCACGGGUAGUAGCAGCUAGGAAGUCAGGCCUUUAUAUAAAGUCCCUGAGCAGAGAGUGAGAGAGAGAGAGAGAGAGAGAGAGUGAGAGAAGAGAGAGAAAGUAAGUAAGGAGCCACAUUUGUAAAGCCCUCACGGUCUCAAGCAG
This is a long non-coding RNA of Oncorhynchus kisutch (coho salmon), 1163 nucleotides long. The record is from Ensembl. Lineage: Eukaryota; Metazoa; Chordata; Actinopteri; Salmoniformes; Salmonidae.